GACGAACGCUGGCGGCGUGCUUAACACAUGCAAGUCGAGCGGUAAGGCCCUUUCGGGGGUACACGAGCGGCGAACGGGUGAGUAACACGUGGGUGACCUGCCCUCAGCUCUGGGAUAAGCCCGGGAAACUGGGUCUAAUACCGGAUAUGACUUCAUGACGCAUGUUGUGGAGUGGAAAGCCUUGUGCGGCUGAGGAUGGGCCCGCGGCCUAUCAGCUUGUUGGUGGGGUGAUGGCCUACCAAGGCGACGACGGGUAGCCGGCCUGAGAGGACGACCGGCCACACUGGGACUGAGAUACGGCCCAGACUCCUACGGGAGGCAGCAGUGGGGAAUCUUGCGCAAUGGGCGAAAGCCUGACGCAGCGACGCCGCGUGAGGGAUGACGGCCU
Molecule: ribosomal RNA, 388 nt
Filed under: uncultured bacterium
Lineage: Bacteria
Description: bacterial SSU rRNA
Rfam family: Bacterial small subunit ribosomal RNA
Source: RNAcentral